RNAcentral lists this long non-coding RNA (485 nucleotides) under Homo sapiens (human). RNAcentral describes it as "HSALNT0305145". Lineage: Eukaryota; Metazoa; Chordata; Mammalia; Primates; Hominidae. The record is from RNAcentral.
AAAAAAAAAAAAAAAAGGAAGGAACUGCUGCUAUCAGAGUGAAGAAAUGUGAGGUCACCCUUUGCGGGAACAGGAGGCGAGCCGGAGGAAGUUCCUUUUCCUCUCUCCAGCCUCGCCGUCUCAGCAGAGCGAAACAGGGGAGCCCCUGGCAAGCAAAUGUUGGAAGGUUCCCAGCCCAGCGUCACAGCAGAGCAGAGAGGAUUCCAAAGCUCUUGAGCUGCAUGAAGUCACUGGAACACAGUAGAGCUUCUGAACCUGUAGCUGGAGAUGAGUAUCACCAGCCAACAUCCUUGGCAGAGCUGUGAGCCAACAGCCAGCCCCAGCCUGCCAGCCGUGUGAGCAAGCAGUCUUGGAAGGUGAUUCUACAGCCCCAGCUGAAACACUCCAACUGAUGCCAUGUGAGCCGAGAAGAGCAGCCAAACUGAGCCCUUCUCAAAUCCCUGAUCCUCCAAAUGUAGGCAAAAUAAAUUGCUGGUUUUAAGCCA